UACGUAGGGGGCAAGCGUUGUCCGGAGUUACUGGGCGUAAAGCGCACGCAGGCGGUCUUUUUAAGUUUGGAGUGACAGUUGGUGGCUUAACUGCCAAAGUGCUUCGAAAACUGACAGACUUGAGGGCUUCAGAGGGACACGGAAUUCCGGGUGGAGUGGUGAAAUGCGUAGAGAUCCGGAAGAACACCGGUGGCGAAGGCGGCCUGCUGGGCAGUAGCUGACGCUGAGGCGCGACAGCGUGGGGGAGCAAACAGG
This 255-nucleotide ribosomal RNA is filed under the name uncultured bacterium. RNAcentral's name for it is "partial 16S ribosomal RNA". It matches the Rfam family "Bacterial small subunit ribosomal RNA", at positions 524 to 776 of the family's 1533-position model. The record is from RNAcentral.